UGAGGUAGUUUGCAAUGCUGUC
This 22-nucleotide microRNA is filed under the name Caenorhabditis briggsae. RNAcentral's name for it is "cbr-miR-84". Its record names the gene cbr-miR-84. Lineage: Eukaryota; Metazoa; Nematoda; Chromadorea; Rhabditida; Rhabditidae. The record is from miRBase by way of RNAcentral.